CCUACGUGAGGCAGCAGUGGGGAAUAUUGCACAAUGGGGGAAACCCUGAUGCAGCGACGCCGCGUGAGUGAAGAAGUAAUUCGUUAUGUAAAGCUCUAUCAGCAGGGAAGAAAAUGACUUUACCUGAGUAAGAAGCCCCAGCUAACUACGUUCCAGCAGCCGCGGUAAUACGUAGGUGGCAAGCGUUAUCCGGAUUUACUGGGUGUAAAGGGAGCGUAGACGGCAGUGCAAGUCUGGAGUGAAAGGCGGGGGCUCAACCCCCGGACUGCUCUGGAAACUGUACGGCUGGAGUGCAGGAGAGGUAAGUGGAAUUCCUAGUGUAGCGGUGAAAUGCGUAGAUAUUAGGAGGAACACCAGUGGCGAAGGCGGCUUACUGGACUGUAACUGACGUUGAGGCUCGAAAGCGUGGGGAGCAAACAGGAUUAGAUACCCGAGUAGUC
This 440-nucleotide ribosomal RNA is filed under the name uncultured bacterium. RNAcentral's name for it is "partial 16S ribosomal RNA". It matches the Rfam family "Bacterial small subunit ribosomal RNA", at positions 338 to 795 of the family's 1533-position model. The record is from RNAcentral.